RNAcentral lists this unclassified non-coding RNA (375 nucleotides) under uncultured Microbacteriaceae bacterium. RNAcentral describes it as "contains 16S-23S intergenic spacer region". The record is from RNAcentral. Lineage: Bacteria; Bacillati; Actinomycetota; Actinomycetes; Micrococcales; Microbacteriaceae.
UCCGGUUUGUCACCGGCAGUCUCCCAUGAGUCCCCAACUUAAUGAUGGCAACAUGGAACGGGGGUUGCGCUCGUUGCGGGACUUAACCCAACAUCUCACGACACGAGCUGACGACAACCAUGCACCACCUGUAUACCUGCCUUGCGGGGAGACCAUUUCUGGCCUUUUCAGGUAUAUGUCAAGCCUUGGUAAGGUUCUUCGCGUUGCAUCGAAUUAAUCCGCAUGCUCCGCCGCUUGUGCGGGCCCCCGUCAAUUCCUUUGAGUUUUAGCCUUGCGGCCGUACUCCCCAGGCGGGGAACUUAAUGCGUUAGCUGCGACACGGAGACCGUGGAAUGGUCCCCACAUCUAGUUCCCAACGUUUACGGCGUGGACUAC